GACGAACGCUGGCGGCGUGCCUAAUACAUGCAAGUUGAGCGCUGAAGGUUGGUACUUGUACCAACUGGAUGAGCAGCGAACGGGUGAGUAACGCGUGGGGAAUCUGCCUUUGAGCGGGGGACAACAUUUGGAAACGAAUGCUAAUACCGCAUAAAAACUUUAAACACAAGUUUUAAGUUUGAAAGAUGCAAUUGCAUCACUCAAAGAUGAUCCCGCGUUGUAUUAGCUAGUUGGUGAGGUAAAGGCUCACCAAGGCGAUGAUACAUAGCCGACCUGAGAGGGUGAUCGGCAACAUUGGGACUGAGACACGGCCCAAACUCCUACGGGAGGCAGCAGUAGGGAAUCUACGGCAAUGGACGAAAGUCUGACCGAGCAACGCCGCGUGAGUGAAGAAGGUUUUCGGAUCGUAAAACUCUGUUGGUAGAGAAGAACGUUGGUGAGAGUGGAAAGCUCAUCAAGUGACGGUAACUACCCAGAAAGGGACGGCUAACUACGUG
Molecule: ribosomal RNA, 497 nt
Filed under: uncultured bacterium
Lineage: Bacteria
Description: partial 16S ribosomal RNA
Rfam family: Bacterial small subunit ribosomal RNA
Source: RNAcentral